GCUGAAGACUUUAGCUUGCUAAAGUUGGAAGAGUUGCGAACGGGUGAGUAACGCGUAGGUAACCUGCCUACUAGCGGGGGAUAACUAUUGGAAACGAUAGCUAAUACCGCAUAACAGCUUUUAACUCAUGUUAGGAGCUUGAAAGGUGCAAUUGCAUCACUAGUAGAUGGACCUGCGUUGUAUUAGCUAGUUGGUGAGGUAACGGCUCACCAAGGCGACGAUACAUAGCCGACCUGAGAGGGUGAUCGGCCACACUGGGACUGAGACACGGCCCAGACUCCUACGGGAGGCAGCAGUAGGGAAUCUUCGGCAAUGGGGGCAACCCUGACCGAGCAACGCCGCGUGAGUGAAGAAGGUUUUCGGAUCGUAAAGCUCUGUUGUAAGAGAAGAACGUGUGUGAGAGUGGAAAGUUCACACAGUGACGGUAACUUACCAGAAAGGGACGGCUAACUACGUGCCAGCAGCCGCGGUA
RNAcentral lists this ribosomal RNA (472 nucleotides) under Streptococcus sp. Its description in RNAcentral is "bacterial SSU rRNA". It matches the Rfam family "Bacterial small subunit ribosomal RNA", at positions 66 to 522 of the family's 1533-position model. Lineage: Bacteria; Bacillati; Bacillota; Bacilli; Lactobacillales; Streptococcaceae. The record is from RNAcentral.